Molecule: ribosomal RNA, 440 nt
Filed under: uncultured bacterium
Lineage: Bacteria
Description: partial 16S ribosomal RNA
Rfam family: Bacterial small subunit ribosomal RNA
Source: RNAcentral
CCUACGGGUGGCAGCAGUGGGGAAUAUUGGUCAAUGGGGGAAACUCUGAACCAGCGACGCCGCGUGAGUGAAGAAGUAUUUCGGUACGUAAAGCUCUAUUAGUAGGAAAGAAAAUGACGGUACCUGACUAAGAAGCCCCGGCUAACUACGUGCCAGCAGCCGCGGUAAGACGUAGGGGGCAAGCGUUAUCCGGAUUUACUGGGUGUAAAGGGAGCGUAGACGGCAGCGAAAGUCUGGAGUGAAAUGCCGGGGCCCAACCCCGGAACUGCACUUGAAACUGUCAAGCUGGAGUGCAGGAGAGGUAAGCGGAAUUCGUGGUGUAGCGGUGAAAUGCGUAGAUAUCACGAAGAACACCGACGGCGAAGGCGGCUUACUGGACUGUAACUGACGUUGAGGCUCGAAGGCGUGGGGAGCAAACAGGAUUAGAUACCCUGGUAGUC